UACGUAGGGUGCGAGCGUUGUCCGGAAUUAUUGGGCGUAAAGAGCUCGUAGGCGGUCUGUCGCGUCUGCUGUGAAAACCCGAGGCUCAACCUCGGGCCUGCAGUGGGUACGGGCAGACUAGAGUGCGGUAGGGGAGAAUGGAACUCCUGGUGUAGCGGUGGAAUGCGCAGAUAUCAGGAGGAACACCGAUGGCGAAGGCAGUGGGCUGGGCCGGCACUGACGCUGAGGAGCGAAAGCGUGGGGAGCGAACAGG
This 253-nucleotide ribosomal RNA is filed under the name uncultured bacterium. RNAcentral describes it as "partial 16S ribosomal RNA". It matches the Rfam family "Bacterial small subunit ribosomal RNA", at positions 524 to 776 of the family's 1533-position model. The record is from RNAcentral.